GAUGAACGCUGGCGGCGUGCCUAAUACAUGCAAGUCGAGCGAACAGAUGAGGAGCUUGCUCCUCUGACGUUUGCGGCGGACGGGUGUGUCACAUGUGGAUCACCUACCUAUAAGACUGGGAUAACUUCGGGAAACCGGAGCUAAUACCGGAUAAUAUAUUGAACCGCAUGGUUUAAUAGUGAAAGACGGUUUUGCUGUCACUUAUAGAUGGAUCCGUGCCGCAUUAGCUAGUUGGUAAGGUAACGGCUUACCAAGGCAACGAUGCGUAGCCGACCUGAGAGGUGGAUCGGCCACACGGGAACUGAGACACGGUCCAGACUCCUACGGGAGGCAGCAGUAGGGAAUCUUCCGAAAUGGGCGAAAGCUUGACGGAGCAACGCCGCGUGAGUGAUGAAGGUCUUCGGAUCGUAAAACUCUGUUAUUAGGGAAGAACAAAUGUGAAAGUAACUAUGCACGUCUUGACGGUACCUAAUCAGAAAGCCACGGCUAACUACGUG
RNAcentral lists this ribosomal RNA (497 nucleotides) under uncultured bacterium. Its description in RNAcentral is "partial 16S ribosomal RNA". It matches the Rfam family "Bacterial small subunit ribosomal RNA", at positions 28 to 507 of the family's 1533-position model. The record is from RNAcentral.